AUACGUAGGUGACAAGCGUUAUCCGGAUUUACUGGGCGUAAAGGGCGUGUAGGCGGUCUUGCAAGUCAGAAGUGAAAUUCCUGAGCUCAACUCGGGCGCUGCUUCUGAAACUGCAGGACUUGAGUGCUGGAGGGGAUAGCGGAAUUCCUCGUGGAGCGGUAAAAUGCGCAGAUAUUCGGAAGAACAACGGUGGCGAAGGCGGCUAUCUGGACAGUAACUGACGCUGAGGCGCGAAAGCGUGGGGAGCAAACAGGAUUAGAUCCCCUGGUAGUCCACGCCGUAAACGAUGAAUACUAGGUGUAGGGGGUAUCGACUCCCUCUGUGCCGCAGUUAACACAAUAAGUAUUCCGCCUGGGGAGUACGGCCGCAAGGUUGAAACUCAAAUGAAUUGGCGGGG
RNAcentral lists this ribosomal RNA (397 nucleotides) under uncultured bacterium. RNAcentral describes it as "partial 16S ribosomal RNA". It matches the Rfam family "Bacterial small subunit ribosomal RNA", at positions 523 to 918 of the family's 1533-position model. The record is from RNAcentral.